CAGGAUGUGGUCAAGUGUUGCU
RNAcentral lists this microRNA (22 nucleotides) under Pongo pygmaeus (Bornean orangutan). RNAcentral's name for it is "ppy-miR-1265". Lineage: Eukaryota; Metazoa; Chordata; Mammalia; Primates; Hominidae. The record is from miRBase by way of RNAcentral.